CACGGAGGGUGCAAGCGUUAUUCGGAAUCACUGGGCGUAAAGAGCGCGUAGGCGGUCUCUUAAGUCAGAUGUGAAAGCCCGGGGCUCAACCCCGGAAGUGCAUUUGAAACUAAGGGACUUGAGUAUGGGAGAGGGAAGUGGAAUUCCUGGUGUAGCGGUGAAAUGCGUAGAUAUCAGGAGGAACACCGGUGGCGAUGGCGACUUCCUGGACCAAUACUGACGCUGAGGCGCGAAAGCGUGGGGAGCAAACAGG
This 253-nucleotide ribosomal RNA is filed under the name uncultured bacterium. Its description in RNAcentral is "partial 16S ribosomal RNA". It matches the Rfam family "Bacterial small subunit ribosomal RNA", at positions 524 to 776 of the family's 1533-position model. The record is from RNAcentral.